GGCCGGCUGAGCGCGCCCGGGGGCCGGACGCUAGCUGAGGGCGGGGGGUAGCGGGUGACGGCGCUGACGGGGGACGGCCUGACCGACCGGCUCGAGGGGAGGGGGCGGGCUGUCGACCGACUGAGCUGCGAGAAGACGGCAGGCGGGGGGACCGACGGACUGAGCAGAGGAUGGAGCGGGAGAGGGGGGCUGGCUAACGGACGGCCCGCUGGACCGGCCGAGGGGAGGGAGCACUGACUGACUGACUGACUGACUGACUGACUGACUGACUGACGGGCCGAUGGACCGGCCGAGGGGAGGGAGCGCUGACUGACUGACUGACUGAUUGACUGACGGGGCCGAUGGACCGGCCGAGGGGAGGGAGCGCUGACUGACUGACUGACUGACUGACUGACGGGCCGAUGGACCGGCCGAGGGGAGGGAGUACUGACGGACGGACGGAGGGACAGACGGACUGACGGACGGGGUUGGCCUAGAGCGCCCGGGGCCUCGGGUGGACGGCGGCCGCGGGAGGACGGCUUCCCAGCAGUUGGCAGCCGCGGGCCUGGCGUCCGGUGGUGGAAGACCUUAGUCUUCGGACCCUGUCCCAGGCAUGACCCGUUCAAAAGCCUCCCUUCCAGAUGGUCACUCUCUGCCCCGGCGUGUCACGUGGUGAUGCUCUGACUUCCGUUCCAUGCCCUGCUGUCUGAGGCUCCUGACCGGCCACCAAACCUGCUGAUAAAAAGUGGGUUAGUGCCUGCAGUGACCAGAAGGUGCUGGCACGUCUAAGGGCUCAGACUUGUUUCCGAGGCACCAGAGUGAUUUAGAAAACUUUUCUGACACAAGCCCCUUUACGAAAAGGUGUGUGGUUUGCCUAAAUGCCUGUGGAGUCUGGGCCAUGAAUGGAGAAGUCAGUCCAGGGAAUGACGAUGGAAGGAGCUGAGUUUACUGCCUUGGAGACCAGAGCCUCGCUACCAGAAACCAUAUCCAGGUACCUUGAAGGUCAGCAACCGCAGUGGCUAAGGCUUGAUUCUUGCAGAACUGGAGGGAAGCGAUGUAUUGACUUUGCACAUAAAGUUCACCAAAGCUGCCUGCAGGUUCAAGGUGAGCGGUGGGUCAUUAUGACCCCUUACAGGACUGAGAAAGGACUGUUAGCUUCUGGCACCAGAAGAAGAAAAAUUGGUCUUUAUGGUUGGCCAGAUAUUUCUGGUUAAAGCAUAAGUUUGCGCAGUGCAUCCUGGGGGAACAGAGUGGAGAAGGGAGGUACAGGCAGGCAGGGAAAAUUCUGCAAUAAAGUUUUCCUUGUCUUGUCCUAAUAUAUG
Molecule: long non-coding RNA, 1301 nt
Filed under: Capra hircus (goat)
Lineage: Eukaryota; Metazoa; Chordata; Mammalia; Artiodactyla; Bovidae
Description: lncRNA (ENSCHIG00000007214.1)
Source: RNAcentral